This 500-nucleotide ribosomal RNA is filed under the name uncultured cyanobacterium. RNAcentral's name for it is "bacterial SSU rRNA". It matches the Rfam family "Bacterial small subunit ribosomal RNA", at positions 356 to 870 of the family's 1533-position model. The record is from RNAcentral. Lineage: Bacteria; Bacillati; Cyanobacteriota.
GGGGAAUUUUCCGCAAUGGGCGAAAGCCUGACGGAGCAAUACCGCGUGAGGGACGAAGGCUUUUGGGUCGUAAACCUCUUUUCCCUGAGAAGAAGAUCUGACGGUAUCAGGGGAAUCAGCAUCGGCUAACUUCGUGCCAGCAGCCGCGGUAAUACGAGGGAUGCAAGCGUUAUCCGGAAUUAUUGGGCGUAAAGCGUCCGCAGGUGGCUCUGUAAGUCUGUCGUUAAAGAAUGGGGCUCAACCCCAUACAGGCGAUGGAAACUACAAGGCUAGAGUUUGGUAGGGGUCACGGGAAUUCCUAGUGUAGCGGUGAAAUGCGUAGAUAUUAGGAAGAACACCAGCGGCGAAAGCGCGUGACUGGGCCAGUACUGACACUCAUGGACGAAAGCUAGGGGAGCGAAAGGGAUUAGAUACCCCUGUAGUCCUAGCCGUAAACGAUGAUAACUAGGUGUUGCCCGUAUCGACCCGGGCAGUGCCGUAGCCAACGCGUUAAGUUAUCC